Molecule: non-coding RNA, 133 nt
Filed under: Micromonospora maris AB-18-032
Lineage: Bacteria; Bacillati; Actinomycetota; Actinomycetes; Micromonosporales; Micromonosporaceae
Source: RNAcentral
CGGCCACCGGGCGUGCGCUACGGUUCUACCGACCCGCCACAGCGAAGUCGGUGUGAAACCGGCGCUGUCCCGCAACUGUGAUGCCCCCGAAAGGGGGACGAGCCAGGUCGCCUGUGGCGCGGUCGCGACACGC